GACUUCAAAAAUAAAAAGUUCAAAAUAAUCAGAAAUGGAUUGGAAUAAUCAUUACGAGACUAAAGAAAUCACUGAUAAAGUAUGCAAAAGAAGUAAAAUUGUUAGAAGAAAAUUAACAGUGAACGACACAGCAGACCUAGUUAAAAUACUUCUCAGAGCACAAAAUUAUUAACUUCAAAAUCAGAAAUGCUUGUUAAACUCACAGCAGACAUAAAAAAUUAAAUUAGUAGCAGGUCAAGCAACUAAAAAAAGAAAAGGAUAAUGCUGACAUAAACAUGCUAAAAAACAUAAGCUCAAAAAUAACAGGUCAGUAGCAGGUCAAUUUUAUCAUAGAUGAAUAUGCAAUCAUAUACUAAGCAAUCCUAUCAUAGAGCUUUAGAAACACUUCCUUUUCCUGCAACAGAUCUUACUAGUCGGUAAAAUAAUUCAAACUAAUUUCAUCUAUGGUUUCGUGGAUGCUCUAGUAAGCUAAAUUAAUCUUUUAAGAGUUCGAAUUUAUAGAUACAUACAUCAUAACAGUAAAUUAAUGAACAAUUUCCAGAAAUUACAUUAUCAAAAUCUUCCUAGCUUCUUCUAAAAGCAAUUUAGGAUUCAAGAUUUGGUAACUAAAUUGAAGCAGUUAAUAAGGUUCCAAAAUCUGCACACAUCCACACAAAAAAACAAGAAAUAAUCAUGGAACAGGAUAAGAAUCACUCAAAGGGUUAAUCAAUCUAGGGUUCUAAGGAAAAAAAACAAUUUCACCGACUCAAAAACAUCACUGAAAUCUUGAAAAUCGGUGAAAAGUGCUCCAGCUCCAGCGCCGGAGAAGUACCCG
Molecule: long non-coding RNA, 814 nt
Filed under: Nicotiana tabacum (common tobacco)
Lineage: Eukaryota; Viridiplantae; Streptophyta; Magnoliopsida; Solanales; Solanaceae
Description: long non-coding RNA (NTAB_LNC016411)
Source: RNAcentral